GAGUUUGAUCGUGGCUCAGGACGAACGCUGGCGGCGUGCCUAAUACAUGCAAGUCGAGCGAGGGUUUUCGGACCCUAGCGGCGGACGGGUGAGUAACACGUAGGCAACCUGCCUCUCAGACCGGGAUAACAUAGGGAAACUUAUGGCUAAUACCGGAUAGGUUUUUGGAUUGCAUGAUCCGAAAAGAAAGAUGGCUUUUUGCUGUCACUGGGAGAUGGGCCUGCGGCGCAUUAGCUAGUU
This 240-nucleotide ribosomal RNA is filed under the name uncultured microorganism. RNAcentral describes it as "partial 16S ribosomal RNA". It matches the Rfam family "Bacterial small subunit ribosomal RNA", at positions 9 to 250 of the family's 1533-position model. The record is from RNAcentral.